RNAcentral lists this ribosomal RNA (501 nucleotides) under uncultured bacterium. Its description in RNAcentral is "partial 16S ribosomal RNA". It matches the Rfam family "Bacterial small subunit ribosomal RNA", at positions 30 to 523 of the family's 1533-position model. The record is from RNAcentral.
AUUGAACGCUGGCGGCAGGCUUAACACAUGCAAGUCGAGCGGAGAUGAGGUGCUUGCACCUUAUCUUAGCGGCGGACGGGUGAGUAAUGCUUAGGAAUCUGCCUAUUAGUGGGGGACAACAUUCCGAAAGGAAUGCUAAUACCGCAUACGUCCUACGGGAGAAAGCAGGGGAUCUUCGGACCUUGCGCUAAUAGAUGAGCCUAAGUCGGAUUAGCUAGUUGGUGGGGUAAAGGCCUACCAAGGCGACGAUCUGUAGCGGGUCUGAGAGGAUGAUUCCCCAACCUGGGACUUGGACACGGCCCAGACUCCUACGGGAGGCAGCAGUGGGGAAUAUGGGACAAUGGGGGGAACCCUGAUCCAGCCAUGCCGCGUGUGUGAAGAAGGCCUUGUGGUUGGAAAGCACUUUAAGCGAGGAGGAGGCUACUGAGACUAAUACUCUUGGAUAGUGGACGUUACCCGCAGAAUAAGCACCGGCUAACUCUGUGCCAGCCGCCGCCGUAA